UCCUUCUCCUAUACCCAUUGCAUAUCGGAGUUGUGAAUUCUCAAAACACCUCCUGUGUGCAUGGAUUACAGGAGGA
Molecule: non-coding RNA, 76 nt
Organism: Ictidomys tridecemlineatus (thirteen-lined ground squirrel)
Lineage: Eukaryota; Metazoa; Chordata; Mammalia; Rodentia; Sciuridae
Source: Rfam